This 314-nucleotide long non-coding RNA is filed under the name Gossypium raimondii (Peruvian cotton). RNAcentral's name for it is "long non-coding RNA (GRAI_LNC010283)". The record is from RNAcentral. Lineage: Eukaryota; Viridiplantae; Streptophyta; Magnoliopsida; Malvales; Malvaceae.
AGAAACGUGCGGCGAUCGGGCGUUGGGCGCGGCGUGGGUGUUGUUGCAGCGCUGAGGCAGAUGCGGCGCUCCUUAUUGCUUAGGGUUUUUCUGUUUAAUUUUGCAGUGUUGGGCUAGGAACUGUUUUGGGCCGAUUGGGCCUUAUUACAGCUAGUAUCAGUUUUUUCUUUUUUUCUUUCUCUUAUUUUGUGUGUUUAAUAGUCAUUAGUUAAGAGAUAAAACAAUAAAGGAGGGAAAACGUACCUGGCGAUAGGAUUACGGCCUUCUCCAUCGUCAUCAGAGAGCAGGUUGGAAUCGGAGACUAUUCGCAUGCC